RNAcentral lists this ribosomal RNA (429 nucleotides) under Actinomycetes bacterium. RNAcentral's name for it is "Actinobacteria bacterium partial 16S ribosomal RNA". It matches the Rfam family "Bacterial small subunit ribosomal RNA", at positions 355 to 776 of the family's 1533-position model. The record is from RNAcentral. Lineage: Bacteria; Bacillati; Actinomycetota; Actinomycetes.
UAGGGAAUCUUCCGCAAUGGGCGAAAGCCUGACGGAGCAACGCCGCGUGAGUGAUGAAGGUCUUCGGAUCGUAAAACUCUGUUAUUAGGGAAGAACAAAUGUGUAAGUAACUAUGCACGUCUUGACGGUACCUAAUCAGAAAGCCACGGCUAACUACGUGCCAGCAGCCGCGGUAAUACGUAGGUGGCAAGCGUUAUCCGGAAUUAUUGGGCGUAAAGCGCGCGUAGGCGGUUUUUUAAGUCUGAUGUGAAAGCCCACGGCUCAACCGUGGAGGUUCAUUGGAAACUGGAAAACUUGAGUGCAGAAGAGGAAAGUGGAAUUCCAUGUGUAGCGGUGAAAUGCGCAGAGAUAUGGAGGAACACCAGUGGUGAAGGCGACUUUCUGGUCUGUAACUGACGCUGAUGUGCGAAAGCGUGGGGAUCAAACAGG